This 492-nucleotide ribosomal RNA is filed under the name uncultured bacterium. Its description in RNAcentral is "partial 16S ribosomal RNA". It matches the Rfam family "Bacterial small subunit ribosomal RNA", at positions 29 to 507 of the family's 1533-position model. The record is from RNAcentral.
AGUGAACGCUGGCGGUAGGCCUAACACAUGCAAGUCGAACGGCAGCACAGUAAGAGCUUGCUCUUACGGGUGGCGAGUGGCGGACGGGUGAGGAAUACAUCGGAAUCUACUUUUUCGUGGGGGAUAACGUAGGGAAACUUACGCUAAUACCGCAUACGACCUACGGGUGAAAGCAGGGGAUCUUCGGACCUUGCGCGAUUGAAUGAGCCGAUGUCGGACUAGCUAGUUGGCGGGGUAAAGGCCCACCAAGGCGACGAUCCGUAGCUGGUCUGAGAGGAUGAUCCGCCACACUGGAACUGAGACACGGUCCAGACUCCUACGGGAGGCAGCAGUGGGGAAUAUUGGACAAAGGGCGCAAGCCUGAUCCAGCCAUACCGCGUGGGUGAAGAAGGCCUUCGGGUUGUAAAGCCCUUUUGUUGGGAAAGAAAAGCAGCAGGUUAAUACCCCGCUGUUCUGACGGUACCCAAAGAAUAAGCACCGGCUAACUUCGUG